Molecule: ribosomal RNA, 301 nt
Filed under: uncultured bacterium
Lineage: Bacteria
Description: partial 16S ribosomal RNA
Rfam family: Bacterial small subunit ribosomal RNA
Source: RNAcentral
CAGUAGCCACGGUAAAACGUAGGUGGCGAGCGUUGUCCGGAAUUAUUGGGCGUAAAGGGCUCGCAGGCGGUUUCUUAAGUCUGAUGUGAAAGCCCCCGGCUCAACCGGGGAGGGUCAUUGGAAACUGGGAAACUUGAGUGCAGAAGAGGAGAGUGGAAUUCCACGUGUAGCGGUGAAAUGCGUAGAGAUGUGGAGGAACACCAGUGGCGAAGGCGACUCUCUGGUCUGUAACUGACGCUGAGGAGCGAAAGCGUGGGGAGCGAACAGGAUUAGAGACCCCGGUAGUCCCUGUCUCUUAUAC